Long non-coding RNA from Macadamia integrifolia, 775 nucleotides. RefSeq lists it as uncharacterized. The record is from RefSeq and is a predicted model, not a curated record. The transcript has 6 exons. NCBI's taxonomy places the organism in Eukaryota, Viridiplantae, Streptophyta, Magnoliopsida, Proteales, Proteaceae.
CCUCCGAUGACCAUUUGACAAACUCAUCCGUAGGCUCUGUCGCGUUCGUGCUUCUCCCUCAACGAAGGUCGCAACUCCUCCUCUCAAAGAUUUGUGACCUCCGACGACCAUUCAAGCCACUCCUCUGCAUCUACUCUGAUUCGUCCCUGCUUCUCCCUCAACAAAUGUCGCGAUUUACUUAGUCUUGAAGAUUUGUGACCUUCGACGACCAUUCCAGCCACUGAACUUCAUCUGCUCCACCUCAUCCUUGCUUCUCCCUCAAUGUAGGUCGCGGUUUGCUUAUCUCGAAGUUAUGCACUCUCUCACCCUCUCUCAACUAUUCUUCCUCUACUUCUUAUCUCUGUAUUCUGCUUGAUGUUAGCCGAUUCAUGAUUCUUGGGGUUUUUUUUUCUCUAAGAUUUGUGAUCUUCAAAGACCAUUCGAGCCCCUCAACUGCAUAUGCUCCGCCUCGUCCUUGCUUCUCCCUCAACGAAAGUCGCGAUUUGCUUAGUCAAAUAUCUCAUCCACAACCCUAGAACUUAAAUUCAAGAUCGAGUGGAGAGGAAUCUAGGGUCUCCAACUUGACCUCACCGUGUUCCUUCUCAUCAUUUUCUGACCCUCUCCUACAGAGGACAUGGCAUUGGAAAACCAAUCCCAGUCAAAGAGAGGACAAAACUGUUCAUGGCCAAAUGACGUAUCACAAUUUCUGCUCCAAUGUUUAUUGGAUUACUAUCAAAAGGGAAAGACUAGUGACAAUGGCCUUAGGAAAGACCAAUGGCAAUCUAUUAUCAAAUGC